RNAcentral lists this long non-coding RNA (1500 nucleotides) under Mytilus galloprovincialis (Mediterranean mussel). Lineage: Eukaryota; Metazoa; Mollusca; Bivalvia; Mytilida; Mytilidae. The record is from RNAcentral.
AAAUAAUAUAGACUUCAAAGCUGAAACAGAUGCUCCAAUAUCUUGUUCAGAAGUAAAUAAGGUAAUCAGAGGACUAAAACUUCAAAAGUCUGCUGGACCAGAUAGAAUUAUAAAUGAAAUAAUUAAAACCUCAAAUCAAGUAAUAAUUAAGUCAAUUGUUAAAAUAUUUAAUUUAAUUCUAAAAACGGGUAUAUACCCAAAAUCAUGGAAGGACUCAUAUAUAAUUGCACUUCAUAAGAAGGGAGACAAAUCUGAUCCCAAUAAUUACAGAGGUAUAUCUUUAAUCAGUAAUCUUCCUAAAAUAUUCAAUGCUGUACUCAAUAAUAGAUUAAUCACAGUUGUGGAUAAACAGCUGAAUAACUGUCAAUUUGGCUUCAGAGAAAACCACAGAACUGCUGACAGUAUUUUCAUAUUUAAAAUCUUUAAUUAAUAAAUAUAUACACAAAAAUAACAAAAAAUAUAUGCAUGCUUCAUUGACUUAAGAAAGGCAUUUGACUCUGUAUGGAGGACAGCCCUUCUGUAUAAAUUAUGCAAAAUGGGAGUAGGAAAGUCUUUUUACAGAGUAAUAAAACAACAAUAUUUAAAUACAAAAUCCUCUUUAAAACAUAAAGAUCACAUUUCUGACUAUUUUGACAUUACUAGAGGUGUGAAACAAGGGGAUUCAUUAAGUCCUACUUUGUUCAAUAUUUUUAUAAAUGAUAUCACUAAAGGUUUGGAAGAUGACAACUCAAGUCCACUGGAGCUUAUAAAUAGUAAACUAGGCUCCCUCCUGUUUGCUGAUGAUCUGCUUUUUACUAUCAGAAUCUAAGGAGGGUCUCCAAAAUAGUCUAAAUAAAGUUUCCAUGUUUUGUGAAAACUGGCAGCUUUCUCUAAACAUAAAUAAAACAAAAAAGUAUGGUCUUUUCAACAACAAAGCAAAAGCCUGAAACAUCUAUACUUGUAUAUAAAAACAAAAAAAUAGAGAAUGUUUCAGAAUAUCCUUACUUGGGUCUGCUGAUUAAAUCAAAUGGUAAUCUUAGUCAUAGUACAGCUGAAUUAACAAAAAAGGCAAAAAAGGUUUUGUUCUCUAUUAAAACAUAUACUAAUUCUCUUGGCAGCCUUCCUAUCAGAGUGUCAAAUAACUUAUUUGACACCUUAGUGAGACCUAUAUUGACUUAUAAUUCUGAAAUAACAUAUUUGGACUCAUAUAUAACAUAUUUCAAAGCUAAAAAAAAGAGCUUUGGUUUCUGGAAAAAUUGUGGACCCAUUUAAUUUUAUUGACAAGACUCCAAUAGAAAACUUGCAUCUUGGGUAUUGCAAGUUUACCCUUAACACUAACAAGAGUGCCUCAAAUUUUGGUACAAGGAACGAAUUGGGAAGACUGCCUAUUGAAUGUCAUAUAAAAACCCAAACUAUUAUGUAUUUAGCAAGGCUUUUCACCUCAAAUUUGAAUCCCUUAUUACAUGAAUCUUUUCAAUUAACUAAAACUUUGGAUUCUAGUGGCACCUAUUCAUGGUUCAC